GCUCCAAACAUGACGGUGGGCGAUCUUUUUAUUUUGGUCCGCGCGAAGUUCAGAGCGAGCAUGAGAGGGAGACUGCGAUGCCUCCAUCCGAGAUGGCAACCUCACUAGUGGAUCACAAUGUGGCUGGAAGCCCGAAUUGGCGGGAAACGAUGGCGAUCUUUUUGGAGCGAGAGGAAAGGGAGAGAAGAGUUGCGAGGCGUAAUUUGCAGGAGGAAGUGGUCAGCACGUGGGGAG
This is a non-coding RNA of Pseudonaja textilis, 234 nucleotides long. The record is from RefSeq and is a predicted model, not a curated record. NCBI's taxonomy places the organism in Eukaryota, Metazoa, Chordata, Lepidosauria, Squamata, Elapidae.